Molecule: small RNA, 74 nt
Filed under: Xanthomonas hortorum pv. taraxaci
Lineage: Bacteria; Pseudomonadati; Pseudomonadota; Gammaproteobacteria; Lysobacterales; Lysobacteraceae
Description: sX9 sRNA
Rfam family: Xanthomonas sRNA sX9
Source: RNAcentral
AUGUACCCACGUACACUCCGGUUCCUCCGCGCCGCCCACACCCACCUGACGAUCGCGCGCUACGCUUCUUAGCC